AAUGAACGCUGGCGGCGUGCCUAACACAUGCAAGUCGAACGAUGACGAUUAAACGAUUUGUUCUGACUGAACUUAAUUGGAGUAGUGGCGGACGGGUGAGUAAAGCGUGAGUAACCUGGCUUGUACACGGGGGUAGCCGUUGGCAACGACGAAUAAUACCCUAUGACAUCAAAUAAUCGCAUGAUAAUUUGAUCAAAGAUUUAUCGGUAUAAGAGGGACUCGCUUCUUAUUAGCUCGUUGGUAGAGUAAAAGCCUACAAAGGCAACGAUCAGUAGCCGGAUGGGGAGAGUGUACGGCAACAUUGGGAGUGGGACCAGGCCCAGACUCCUACGGGAGGCCGCAAGGGGGAAUUUUGCACACCGGGGGAAACCCUGAUGCCGCGAGGCCGCGUGAUUUAGAAGGCCUUAGGGUUGUAAAAAUCUUUUGUAUGGGAAGAAAAUGACAGUACCCUACGAAUAAGGACCGGCUAACUACGUG
Molecule: ribosomal RNA, 477 nt
Filed under: uncultured bacterium
Lineage: Bacteria
Description: partial 16S ribosomal RNA
Rfam family: Bacterial small subunit ribosomal RNA
Source: RNAcentral